RNAcentral lists this ribosomal RNA (271 nucleotides) under uncultured bacterium. Its description in RNAcentral is "partial 16S ribosomal RNA". It matches the Rfam family "Bacterial small subunit ribosomal RNA", at positions 524 to 794 of the family's 1533-position model. The record is from RNAcentral.
UACGUAGGGCGCAAGCGUUAUCCGGAAUUAUUGGGCGUAAAGAGCUCGUAGGCGAUUUGUCGCGUCUGCUGUGAAAGACCGGGGCUCAACUCCGGUUCUGCAGUGGGUACGGGCAGACUAGAGUGCAGUAGGGGAGACUGGAAUUCCUGGUGUAGCGGUGAAAUGCGCAGAUAUCAGGAGGAACACCGAUGGCGAAGGCAGGUCGCUGGGACGUUACUGACGCUGAGACGCGAAAGCGUGGGGAGCAAACAGGAUUAGAUACCCCAGUAGU